AUUGAACGCUGGCGGCAUGCUUUACACAUGCAAGUCGAACGGUAACAGGCCGCAAGGUGCUGACGAGUGGCGAACGGGUGAGUAAUGCAUCGGAACGUGCCCAGUCGUGGGGGAUAACGCAGCGAAAGCUGUGCUAAUACCGCAUACGAUCUAUGGAUGAAAGCGGGGGACCGUAAGGCCUCGCGCGAUUGGAGCGGCCGAUGUCAGAUUAGGUAGUUGGUGAGGUAAAGGCUCACCAAGCCGACGAUCUGUAGCUGGUCUGAGAGGACGACCAGCCACACUGGGACUGAGGCACGGCCCAGACUCCUACGGGAGGCAGCAGUGGGGAAUUUUGGACAAUGGGCGCAAGCCUGAUCCAGCAAUGCCGCGUGCAGGAUGAAGGCCUUCGGGUUGUAAACUGCUUUUGUACGGAACGAAACGGUGAGCUCUAAUACAGUUUGCUAAUGACGGUACCGUAAGAAUAAGCACCGGCUAACUACGUG
Molecule: ribosomal RNA, 482 nt
Filed under: uncultured bacterium
Lineage: Bacteria
Description: bacterial SSU rRNA
Rfam family: Bacterial small subunit ribosomal RNA
Source: RNAcentral